GGGGCAUUAGCUCAGCUGGGAGAGCGCUUGCAUGGCAUGCAAGAGGUCACCGGUUCGAGCCCGGUAUGCUCCA
RNAcentral lists this transfer RNA (73 nucleotides) under Bacilli bacterium. RNAcentral describes it as "tRNA-Ala". It matches the Rfam family "tRNA". From Rfam's summary of the family: Transfer RNA (tRNA) molecules are approximately 80 nucleotides in length. Their secondary structure includes four short double-helical elements and three loops (D, anti-codon, and T loops). Further hydrogen bonds mediate the characteristic L-shaped molecular structure. tRNAs have two regions of fundamental functional importance: the anti-codon, which is responsible for specific mRNA codon recognition, and the 3' end, to which the tRNAs corresponding amino acid is attached (by aminoacyl-tRNA synthetases). tRNAs cope with the degeneracy of the genetic code in two manners: having more than one tRNA (with a specific anti-codon) for a particular amino acid; and 'wobble' base-pairing, i.e. permitting non-standard base-pairing at the 3rd anti-codon position. RNAcentral also lists the same sequence under 1 other name. The record is from RNAcentral. Lineage: Bacteria; Bacillati; Bacillota; Bacilli.